UAUAGUGUCUGAAGACAAGGGAUC
Molecule: non-coding RNA, 24 nt
Filed under: Cricetulus griseus (Chinese hamster)
Lineage: Eukaryota; Metazoa; Chordata; Mammalia; Rodentia; Cricetidae
Source: RNAcentral